GGGACCAGAAGAGGAGCGCCAACCAGGUACUCUGUUCGAGGUGAGCAAACACCGAUGACAACAGACGAUGGGGAUUGGCGCCGAGGCAGCGGGCCGUUUGGCUCGGAUCGCUGCCGGUUGUAGAGGCUGAAUCCUCGCAACUGUCACCCUUUGGUGGAGAGCUUCUGGUCUU
RNAcentral lists this non-coding RNA (172 nucleotides) under Ferrimonas marina. RNAcentral describes it as "Lysine sequence". It matches the Rfam family "Lysine riboswitch aptamer". From Rfam's summary of the family: Riboswitches are metabolite binding domains within certain messenger RNAs that serve as precision sensors for their corresponding targets. Allosteric rearrangement of mRNA structure is mediated by ligand binding, and this results in modulation of gene expression. The record is from Rfam by way of RNAcentral. Lineage: Bacteria; Pseudomonadati; Pseudomonadota; Gammaproteobacteria; Alteromonadales; Ferrimonadaceae.